Molecule: non-coding RNA, 7259 nt
Organism: Peromyscus maniculatus bairdii (prairie deer mouse)
Lineage: Eukaryota; Metazoa; Chordata; Mammalia; Rodentia; Cricetidae
Source: RefSeq, a predicted model, not a curated record
UACAUCCAGUGCAGCUGAGUCAAACAAACGUGAGGUUCAUUAUGAACAUAAACCACAGCCUCCAGCGUCUUGGAAGGAUCUGUCCUUGGGCAAGCGGCUUGCAGAAUCUCCUCGUCCCAGCAAGCCCCUCCUACUUUGGUGUAUUGUUGGUGCCCCGGCAAGCUUGGUUAGCGUGACUCGCAUGCACAAUUGGUGAGCAAGAGCAACUGAAGAAAUGGCAGACGUGAGCACAGAAGAGCUGGGGUCACGCGCACUCUGAUGGAACCUGACUCCUGGGCUCUCCGUUAGGGACAGCGCAAGGAGAGGGUCAGCUGCUCUCAGUGGGAGGUCUCCAAGAUGAGCAAUCUCUGUCUAAACGUCCUGGAGGAUGGAGCUGCAGCCGCCAGUGUUUGUACACACCGGUCAUUCACAAAUGCUCAUACUUGGACUGAAGUCUUUGCCACUUCUGAGCCUGGCCCAGGGAAAGGCUUUGCCAAUCUUCCAUGGAUCCAAGGCCUUGGGGUUCUUGACAUGGCCUUGCCCAUAUCAACAAUACACACUUCCCAAUCCCUGAGACCGCAGCUGCUCCUUGAGACACAGACUCCACCAGCUCCAAUUGGCCCUAGUUGUGGGCCAGCAGGGAAGACUCCUAUAGGCAGGCCUGGCCACCCCCCACCCCACUCAGACCCUGUAAUCUACAAGUCCCACUCUGUUCCCCAAACCCACUCAUUCCCCAAGACCCCAGCGGCCCCCUGAGACACAGACACCAGCCAGCGCCGAUUGGACCAAGAGCGGCCCCCUGAGACACAGACACCGCUUACACCAGUUGGAGGAAGAGAUGGGUAGACUCCAGUGCAAGAAUACGUUCAACAGCAUAAAGAGCAUUAUGGCCCCACAGAACCUUGUUCUGUUGUGGUUCUCAACAGCAAGACCUGAGCAUCCCAACAUAGAAGAAGCAGAAGAAAAGGACCUUAAAAACAGCUUUAUGACGAUGAUAGAGACCUAUAAAGAGGAAAUAAAAAAUCCCCUUAAACAAUACACACUUCCCAUCAGCUAUGAACCGCCAACUGCUUCUGAGGGACUGGUGGGGCCCUGUGAGCCCCUCCCCAUGCGCGCUAGCUUAUCCUGUGCGGAUGACCAUAGCUGCCGUGAGUUUGUGGGCACAACAGCUAUGCCAUGUCCAGAAGAGAGCACUUCCCAGCAGCCCUCUCGAUCCCUCAGCUCUUACAUUCUUUCUACUCCCUGGUCCACCGUGUUCCCUGAGCCUUGGAGCGGGAGACACAGGACUCAACCAUCACUUCCUCUCAGCACUUUAAACCAGUUACACGUCUCUGCAUUGACCGCUGCCCACUGCAAACUGAGGCUUCUCUGACUAUUCUGAGAGCCGCACUGGUCUAUGAAUAUAAACGUAGAUCUCCAGAGCGCAGAGCAAUAACGGCUAGAUCACGGCUCUGAACCCCGGCAUCCCUCACACAGUGCUUACAAGACGCACCACACAAGCCACCUGGCAGGCAUAGCUCUCGGGAGGGGUUCUUGGCGCAUAGGUUCCUCGGCCUCUUGUUUCCUAAUAGGGAGAGCCAGGUCCAGGAAGCAGCAGCUGGUUGGGUCCCAGGCUAUGUUGUAGGUCCUUAUCCCACCUGGCCUGAGGUCCCUGCAGCAUUGCAGGUCAGAGGGGACCAGGCAGCACUGGGUCAAGUGCCAGUAAAACCUUGUACCAGAGAGCCUGGGGGCAGAGGGACGUAGGCGGCGGCUCCUCCACCCCUCCUGGCGGUCUCUUGCAGUCUUGGCUGGCAGGCAUGAGAUGGAGCCUGCUCUCAUCGCCUGGGGAGCAAUGGGUGCGGUAACAGUUCUUUCUUCCUGCCGUGGAUCCUGAUCUGGCUGCUCUGCCUGCUCCCUCGAAGUUGGCCCUAACUAACCACGCCUUUACCGGCCACAGCUUUCCCUCAGCCACAGAGCCACACGUGGCCAGGAAAAUCCUCACAAAAAGGCACUGGCGGCAUCCUGGCAAGAGUGAGACUACAGGAGGGGACCUCACAUUCGGUGCACCCACUCACCCAUCCCUACUUUUAACUAGAUGCUGUGUGGCCCCCCUAGAGGGAGUGGUAGACAGAAAGAUGUGACCCUGGACACCCGACACCCUCGCAGAGUUCACAGUUCUGUGUGAUUGUGUGUGCCCAGGCAUGCACGGGUGCAGACAACAACAAGGUACAAAGGAUUUGUCAUGUUGUCGGUGGUGGGAGACAGAAGCAAUAGAGCCUAGAUCAGAGAAAAGAGGGAUGGGGGAAGACGGCAGCGAGAGACGGAAAGGAGAAAUGGAGGAAACAUCCCUGGAGUGUUACAGAGUGCAUGAGUGAUAAGGGCCCUGAGAGGGCACUGGGAAGCCACAGCACGCCACUCGAAGAGGCCCCUACUGGGUGUGCACUUUAGGAAGUCACUUGGCCCGUAGGGUGGCAGGUCACUUGUGGCAAGGGCAGAGGCUGCUGUUGCGGAAGGUCUGGCCUCUUCUCACUGCCGAACAGCCUUGGUUCCGGCACAGGUCUGUCGUCUCACACGGCCACAAUUACUCCUUUGUGGGAUAGCUGGAAAAGGCUGGCCGUGCACAUCCUGGCCUGGCACACUGUGUGGGACAUAGAGAGCGAGCAUUGCCCUGUGGCUGCCCUUGGCUCUGUCCUGGGCUCCCUGUUCCUGCACCCUCCAUGAUGUCCUGGUAGGGACGGGGACAGGCCCCUCCCCGGCCACGCCACCAGCAGGAGCUGCCAGCUCUUCUCUCCGAUAAUCGCUUCCAACUCGGGCCUGAGUGUUGGUGACAGCAGCUCUCUGAUUUCCUGUGACAGUGGCCGUUCUUUGCAGAGGCCCCUACUCGCCAGCCCCCCUGGGAGCUGAGCCCCACCCGUUCUCACAGAAGGAUGUCUUUAAUAGCCACUGGGACACCAGCUGAUGCACUGGCCAUGAACUUCCCCUGGUCCAAGUGCAGAGCUCAAAAGACAAAGGGGACCUCAGAGCCCAUGGCCGCGUCCCUGGCCCCAUGUCCUCUUCCCAGGCCCUCCCGGGCCCCGGCCCCUUUGUUUAGGGUUCAAGAGCAUGGACUGCCAAGAUUCUGACGGAAGCGCUCGCUGGUCAACAUCUUAAUAGCUAGACAAGAAGGAAAAAAACAGGGCACCGAGGACGGGGACCGCAUGGGGUGCAAUUAACUCCUCAUUCCACAGUCCUAGGACAGGGUGAGGCAGGAAUACAGGGUGCUGCAAAGAGACUAUUUUGAAAUGUCCACCUACUUGGGGUCACCUGGAACCCCUACAGUGGACUCUGGUUGGGAAGUGUAUCACCAGCCUCUAGACCAGCAAUUGAUUUUCAACCUGUGGGUCGUGAUCCCUUUCGGGGUUCAGAAAACCUAAGACCAUCCAAAAACAUCGAUAUUUACAUUACAAUUCAUAGCAGUAGCAAAAUGACAGUUAUGAAGUAUCAACAAAAAUAAUUUUAUGGUUGGGAUUACCACAGAGUGAGAAACUGUAUUAAAGGGUCAUAGCAUUAGGAAGGUUGAAAACCACUGUUCUAGAAACAUCCUGGGAACUUGGAACUCCAGAUUAGGAGGCUGGGACACAGGAGUUCACUUCUCCAGGAAAUAGUGCCAACCUUGAUUUUGCUGUCCAAGGAGACCUCGGGUGCAUUUGCUUGCUCAUCCUGUCCUUCAUCCGGGCUUCUCUGACAGCUGGUCUUAAUCCACCUAAGGCUUCUGCUCUGGGUAAAGGCCAGGGUGUUGCUCACAGAGGCCCAAGGCUUAGGUUCUGACUGAGAGAAUCCAGGUGAGGGAUGCCAAGAAGCUGGUUGGCUACCUCUAGAGUGAUUGCUUUUGUGUCAGAAGGUUAUGGCUUGAAGUCUUCUCCUAUCAUAGGCCUGAUAGUGAAGACCAGCCUGGGUUAAUGUGGGCCAGCCUGGGUUAAUGUGGACCAGCCUGAGUUAACAUGCAUUCCUGAUUUGCCAUUCAUCUGUCAUCUGGAGACCGUGACAGUGGCAGCCAUUGUUGUCAUUAGACAUGGCGGAUGCUUUGGACAGCUUAUUUCAGGGUCCUGUAAUAAAGUCAACUGACUUCUCAUCCUCCCCACCAGAGGAGCCUCAGCCCUCCCAAGUUCACUGACCACAGUUCCGGGAAGUGCACAGCCUCAUCCUCCAAGACUGGGAGGCUUACAGUAGGUGUCCACCUCUGCUGCACACAGUAUGAUUGCUGGAAAUGCAUGGGGCAGGAUGAUUUGACCCUGGGCCUCUUUGAGAUACACCCCACUGUCAGCUCUCUGGAAUGGGGUUCUGCCUCUUCCAUCCCCACAUCAAUGGCAUGGCUCUGGGGCCUGGUUGGCACGUUGAGCCUCAGGUCAGAGCAGAGUUCUGUGUUCCCAGCCUGUGGAAGCCACAGGAACUGGCCAGCACAUUGGACACCACCCAGUUUCAAAGCUUCCCAGCUCAAUGGAGCCAGCUGACCAUGUUCCCACGGGACUGUAUCUUUCCCACGGCCACGCAGGCUCCAGGCCAGCCCCAUGUAGUCCUGUCUGUGAAUAUCCCACUCUGGGAGGUAGUAAGGGGGUGAGGUCAGAGCCAGGGUCCAGGACUCAGGGAGAUCCAGGCUUGGCUCUAAAAAGCUUUGCUGUUGGACAAAUGCCUUCCCUGCUUAGCUACAUCUUCAGAGACAUUGGGGUUACUAGUGUCUGCCAUAGGCCUUUCCACAGGGGUGCUGGGCAAGGUGCUUCCGGCAGCCCCAACUCCUGUGUCCUGCAGGAAGAGACAUCCACAGCACCCUUGCUCAGUCAGUUCCUGUACUCUGGAGACCACAAAGACAGCCAAUACACCAGCCAACCACACAGUGCUUCUGUCGGGGGAGGUCAAUAAGAGACUCCUGACCCUCCUCUUGGUGAACUAGGCUGGAGAAAUCACUUUGGACCAAGUGUGUGAGUGCCACUUGAAGUGAAGAGACCAAAAAUGCUUGUGGAGAAAGCAGCACUGGCCUCCCCUGCUGCUGUGUCAACAGAAGAGCAAAGAAGAACAAGUCGCUCUCUCAGUUAGUCUUUCUUGUUGAUACAGACUACAUAGCUACGUAGCCCAGGUUAGCCUCAAACUCCUCCUUCCCUAGCUUCAGCCUGCCAUGCAGUUCAGGUUACAAGUGUGCCACAGCAUGCCUAGCUACCCCUACAAAACUAUUACUUGUGUGUCUCUGGGGUGUUCAUACCCGUUCUCAUUGGUAUGUGCAUGCUGUGUGGGGUAUAUGCAUGUGGUGCACACAUGCAUGUGGAGGUCAGAGGUCAACAUUGGGCCUCUUCCUCAGACACUCCUCACCUAUUUUUUGAGACAGAGUCUCUUGCCAAUCUGGCUAGGUUGGUUGGCUGGCAAGCCACAGGGAUCCUCCUGUCUCCACCUCUGAGUACUGGGGUUACAGGUGUGCCCUGACAUGGCUACACUUUUGUCUGCUUGCUGAAGAUCUGAACUCAGGACCUCAUGCUUUUAUUUUCUCAACUGAGCCAUCUCCUAGUCCUCAAGACACACUGUUAUUAUGUAAAAAGUUUGUAGAUAAUAAAUUCUAAAAUUAAAAAAAAAACAACAGGCAAAUGUGAUACAAAUUCCAGAUCAUUUGGAGGCUUGGAAAUGUAGAUCUUCUCACUGCCAAAGAAAGCAGAGCCUUGCCUUGGAGCAGCAGGCUUGGAGCAAGCAUGAUGUGAUGCUUGAAGUAGUCAGGGGACCGGUAAGCCCCACACAGUGAGCUCGAGAACAAAGUUACCCACAAAUCACUCACAUUUAUUUUAUUUUGGAUAAAAGAGUGUUCCUCGGAGUGUCUUGCCCACUUGUUUUAGGUCAAAAGGUGACAUGCACAGUCAACACAAAGGUGAGGGUGUUUUGAGAAGCUUUUAAUAGCCAGGGCUCCAAAGAGACAUUUAUACACACAUCUACAGUUUCUCCAUAUACACAUGUGUAUACCUCCCUGUGCACACUUAUCCACAGAUGGAAAGAGGCUACUGUGAGACACUCCCCAUGUGACAAUGAGGUCAAGAAUUCCCACUGCUGCCAUUGGCUAGCAGCAAUUCUAAGAGAGUGAUGGUCACACUCCAGCCCAAGCUUAAAGGCCAGAGGCCCAGGGUGUCCCACACCCAGGAGUAGAAGUUGCAUGCCCCAGCUCCGGAUGGAGGAGCCAGCUGGUCCUUCCUGUGUUUCCACGUGCUCAGAUCCUCACAAACUGGGUGGUGCCCACUGAUACUGGUGAAGGUAGAUCACCUUUACUCUGUCUGCCAUCUUCUAUAAACAUCCUCCCAGAAACACCCAGGAAUAGAACUUAGCCACCUCGGUGGGCAGCCCACAGCCCAGUCACACUGACACAGAGCUAACUGCCUUCCAGGCACAGCCUGAGUGAAGUCAGUUUAAGGGAUAUUUAAGAGAGCUCAGGCCACAGAUGGCCUGAGGUGUCCUUAAGUCUUACAAUGCAGCAAAGAAAGAGACCCAGCAGAGGUUUCCUUAAACUUGAAAGCAAUCCCCAAAGCACCUUAGAUUACCAGCAAAGAACUGAAAAUUUCAAGUAAGUCCUUGUCGGAUGAUAAAAAUCGAAAGCCAAUUUCCAUCAACCAUAUUAUCCAGUGUUCCAAACUAUCCUCUUAACCUUGUAUAAAAAAGGAUGCUAAAUCCUUUUUUGCUAGUCCUCUGCACCCAUGUCAAUGAUAGACAGACAGUGGAUCCCACUUGUCAUCCUGAUGCUUGGGAGGUGGAGAUCGAAUCCCCAGAGAAAGCUGGCCAGCUGAACUAGUCAUAUUGGCCUGCUCUGGGUUCAAGUGAGAGACUCUGCCUCAAAGAGCAAAGUGGAGAGCCAUGAGAAGACACUGGGCAUCAGCCACUGACUUCCUCGUGCACACGGCCACCAACACAUGCACCACCAGAAGUAAUAAAGAGAGCAACAGUAUUGCCACGAUUAACAGUAUUACUCUCUUAGCCCUCCUCCCCAUCUGUGACAUCGUUUACUCCCAAAUUUUGGUGGAUUGGAUGGGAAAUGUCCCCCAUGGGCUCAGGUGUUUGAACACCUGGUCCCUAGUUGAUGAUGCUGUUUGGGGAGAUUUGGGAGGGGCAGCCUUGUUGGAGGAAACAAGUCACUAGGGGCGGGCUUUUGGAGUUUAAAGCCUUGAACCACUUCCAAGUUCAUCUCUGCUUCCUGCUUGUGGUUGGGUAUGAGAGCCCUCAGCUGCCUGCCCCUGGCUGCCAAGCCUCUGCUCCACAAUUCCUCUGGAGCCAUAAGACAAAAUAAACCCCCUCUUCUUUGA